GCGGCAGGCCUAAUACAUGCAAGUCGAGCGCGCCCUUCGGGGUGAGCGGCGGACGGGUGAGUAACGCGUGGGAACAUGCCUUGAGGUGGGGGACAACAGUUGGAAACGACUGCUAAUACCGCAUAAUGUCUACGGACCAAAGGGGGCUUCGGCUCUCGCCCUUAGAUUAGCCCAAGUGGGAUUAGCUAGUUGGUGAGGUAAAGGCUCACCAAGGCGACGAUCCCUAGCUGGUUUGAGAGGAUGAUC
RNAcentral lists this ribosomal RNA (246 nucleotides) under uncultured bacterium. RNAcentral describes it as "partial 16S ribosomal RNA". It matches the Rfam family "Bacterial small subunit ribosomal RNA", at positions 39 to 305 of the family's 1533-position model. The record is from RNAcentral.